GCCCUGCUAGCUCAAUCGGUAGAGCGUGAGACUUUUACAAUCAGAGGCAGUGAGCAGCCUCACCCUCCGAUGCCAAAUUGUACUUAGCUUGUUCAGGGAUCUCAAGGCUGCGGGUUCGAGCCCCGCGUGGGGCU
Molecule: non-coding RNA, 134 nt
Organism: Ceratobasidium sp. 395
Lineage: Eukaryota; Fungi; Basidiomycota; Agaricomycetes; Cantharellales; Ceratobasidiaceae
Source: the annotation of a GenBank genome assembly